Molecule: ribosomal RNA, 253 nt
Filed under: uncultured bacterium
Lineage: Bacteria
Description: partial 16S ribosomal RNA
Rfam family: Bacterial small subunit ribosomal RNA
Source: RNAcentral
UACGUAGGGUCCAAGCGUUAUCCGGAAUCACUGGGCGUAAAGCGUGCGUAGGCGGCGUGUUAAGUGAGAUGUUAAAUCGUGUGGCUCAACCAUAUCGAUGCAUCUCAUACUGGCAUGCUAGAGGAAGGCAGAGGCAAGUGGAAUUUGUAGUGUAGCAGUGAAAUGCGUAGAUAUUACAAGGAACACCAAUGGCGAAGGCAGCUUGCUGGGCCUUUUCUGACGCUGAGGUACGAAAGCGUGGGGAGCGAACAGG